UUGACCUCAAAUCAGGUAGUUACUACCCGCUGAACUUAAGCAUAUCAAUAAGCGGAGGGAAAAGAAACUAACAAGGAUUCCCCUAGUAACUGCGAGUGAAGCGNGGAAAAAGCUCAAAAUUUAAAAUCUGGGGGCCUCCNGCCGUCCGAGUUGUAAUC
Molecule: ribosomal RNA, 158 nt
Filed under: uncultured Hebeloma
Lineage: Eukaryota; Fungi; Basidiomycota; Agaricomycetes; Agaricales; Cortinariaceae
Description: partial 28S ribosomal RNA
Rfam family: Eukaryotic large subunit ribosomal RNA
Source: RNAcentral